Molecule: long non-coding RNA, 398 nt
Organism: Leopardus geoffroyi (Geoffroy's cat)
Lineage: Eukaryota; Metazoa; Chordata; Mammalia; Carnivora; Felidae
Exons: 3
Source: RefSeq, a predicted model, not a curated record
UCUCCCUGCCCCUCCCCUCCUAGCUCACUCUCUCUCUCUCUUUCUGAAAGAAAGACAGACAGACUUAGAGACUUGGGAACCUGUUUUGGGAGGACAACUGCGGAUGCUAAUUCUUUUUUUUCUCCUAAGACCCUGAGACUUAGUGUCCCUGAUGCAUUUACUCUUACUUCAGGCCCAGCUCUUAGAUAAGUAACAGGGGAAUUCAACAGGGUGCCACGAGAGAGUAUGGUCCCUCCGUCACCACCACCCACCUCUGGGAUCCCUCCUCUACCACGAUAAGGCCUCUACUCACAUGAAAAUUCACAGGCAACGAUCAGCACGUUCAAAAGCCAGCCACAGUCAGCUAACUGGAUGUGUUCAUCACCUCACCGUGACAAAAGUGAUGUGUUCCUCCCCUC